GCUCCCUUAGCUCAGUCGGUUAGAGCGCAGUGCUUAUAAGCUGAGAACCAGCUAACUAAAAAUAGCUUCAAUCGCUAAGAUACGCCGAGGUCGUGGGUUCGAAUCCCACAGGGAGCA
RNAcentral lists this transfer RNA (117 nucleotides) under Spraguea lophii 42_110. It matches the Rfam family "tRNA". Rfam says of the family: Transfer RNA (tRNA) molecules are approximately 80 nucleotides in length. Their secondary structure includes four short double-helical elements and three loops (D, anti-codon, and T loops). The record is from Rfam by way of RNAcentral. Lineage: Eukaryota; Fungi; Microsporidia; Spragueidae.